AUGUCAGUUUACUGGGUAGUGGCUGAGACCCAGGGCAAUGACGAUUCUGAAAGCCUCCAGGCCUGCCCAGGGCGCGCAGUGAGACCCCGUGCACACUCGGGAAGGUGGAUGGGAUCGUCCACGGGGACUCCCAACCUGGCCUUGCCGAAGGUCACAAAUUGCUUUAACCUGAAAACCCCCCGGCUGAGGUCCGCCUCCAGCCUCAGCCUGAAACCACGCACGCCUUCCUGCUACCCGAGAGUAACCGAGCGCACCAGGGCUAACGGCAUGCGGUCUGGGGACCCACGACCGUUGCGCCGACGCCGUCUCCACUCAACCCUUCCCUGGGCCCUGGAGGCUCCGGUGCCGCGCGCCGCCACGAAAUCCGGCGCCGCGCAAACUCCGCGUCAUCCUGCAGGCGGGCGCCGUUCUCGGCAUCUGUAAAGGUCUGCUAGGCUCAGCCUAGUGGCCUCGGGCUGUUCAGGGGGACAACCGCGAGACGACAAUGCGACGACGACCAAGCGCCAAGCACCUUUGGCCGCGCGCCGGGCCCUCCGUCCGCCCCGGCCCCCGCCCCGC
RNAcentral lists this long non-coding RNA (558 nucleotides) under Ictidomys tridecemlineatus (thirteen-lined ground squirrel). Its description in RNAcentral is "lncRNA (ENSSTOG00000031545.1)". Lineage: Eukaryota; Metazoa; Chordata; Mammalia; Rodentia; Sciuridae. The record is from RNAcentral.